RNAcentral lists this ribosomal RNA (424 nucleotides) under uncultured bacterium. RNAcentral's name for it is "bacterial SSU rRNA". It matches the Rfam family "Bacterial small subunit ribosomal RNA", at positions 28 to 440 of the family's 1533-position model. The record is from RNAcentral.
GAUGAACGCUAGCUACAGGCUUUAACACAUGCAAGUCGAGGGGCAGCAUGGUCUUAGCUUGCUAAGGCCGAUGGCGACCGGCGCACGGGUGAGUAACACGUAUCCAACCUGCCGUCUACUCUUGGACAGCCUUCUGAAAGGAAGAUUAAUACAAGAUGGCAUCAUGAGUCCGCAUGUUCACAUGAUUAAAGGUAUUCCGGUAGACGAUGGGGAUGCGUUCCAUUAGAUAGUAGGCGGGGUAACGGCCCACCUAGGCGACGAUCAGUAGCCGGACUGAGAGGUUGACCGGCCACAUUGGGACUGAGACACGGCCCAGACUCCUACGGGAGGCAGCAGUGGGGAAUAUUGGGCAAAUGGGCGCAAGCCUGACCCAGCAAACGCCGCGUGAAGGAAGAAGGCUUUCGGGUUGUAAACUUCUUUUGUC